AACGAACGCUGGCGGCAGGCUUAACACAUGCAAGUCGAGCGCAUCCUUCGGGGUGAGCGGCAGACGGGUGAGUAACACGUGGGAAUCUACCCAACCCUACGGAAUAGCUCCGGGAAACUGGAAUUAAUACCGUAUACGCCCUUAGGGGGAAAGAUUUAUCGGGGAUGGAUGAGCCCGCGUUGGAUUAGCUAGUUGGUGGGGUAAAGGCCUACCAAGGCGACGAUCCAUAGCUGGUCUGAGAGGAUGAUCAGCCACAUUGGGACUGAGACACGGCCCAAACUCCUACGGGAGGCAGCAGUGGGGAAUAUUGGACAAUGGGCGCAAGCCUGAUCCAGCCAUGCCGCGUGAGUGAUGAAGGCCUUAGGGUUGUAAAGCUCUUUCACCGGAGAAGAUAAUGACGGUAUCCGGAGAAGAAGCCCCGGCUAACUUCGUGCCAGCCGCCGCAGUAA
Molecule: ribosomal RNA, 449 nt
Filed under: uncultured bacterium
Lineage: Bacteria
Description: partial 16S ribosomal RNA
Rfam family: Bacterial small subunit ribosomal RNA
Source: RNAcentral